Molecule: ribosomal RNA, 301 nt
Filed under: uncultured bacterium
Lineage: Bacteria
Description: partial 16S ribosomal RNA
Rfam family: Bacterial small subunit ribosomal RNA
Source: RNAcentral
CAGUAGCCGCGGGAAUACGAAGGGGGCUAGCGUUGUUCGGAAUUACUGGGCGUAAAGGGCGCGUAGGCGGCCAUUCAAGUUAGAUGUGAAAGCCCUGGGCUCAACCUAGGAAUUGCAUUUGAUACUGUUUGGCUUGAGUUCGGGAGAGGUGAGUGGAAUUCCCAGUGUAGAGGUGAAAUUCGUAGAUAUUGGGAAGAACACCAGUGGCGAAGGCGGCUCACUGGACCGACACUGACGCUGAGGCGCGAAAGCGUGGGGAGCGAACAGGAUUAGAUACCCCCGUAGUCCCUGUCUCUUAUAC